GACAGCAGUAGCCGCGGUAAUACGGAGGGUGCAAGCGUUAAUCGGAAUUACUGGGCGUAAAGCGCACGCAGGCGGUCUGACAAGUCAGAUGUGAAAUCCCCGGGCUUAACCUGGGAACUGCAUUUGAAACUGUCAGGCUGGAGUCUUGUAGAGGGGGGUGGAAUUCCAGGUGUAGCGGUGAAAUGCGUAGAGAUCUGGAGGAAUACCGGUGGCGAAGGCGGCCCCCUGGACAAAGACUGACGCUCAGGUGCGAAAGCGUGGGGAGCAAACAGGAUUAGAUACCCCUGUAGUCCCUGUCUCUUAUAC
RNAcentral lists this ribosomal RNA (306 nucleotides) under uncultured bacterium. RNAcentral describes it as "partial 16S ribosomal RNA". It matches the Rfam family "Bacterial small subunit ribosomal RNA", at positions 507 to 807 of the family's 1533-position model. The record is from RNAcentral.